CCUACGGGAGGCAGCAGUAGGGAAUAUUGCUCAAUGGGGGAAACUCUGAAGCAGCAACGCCGCGUGGAGGAUGAAGGUUUUCGGAUUGUAAACUCCUUUUGUUAGAGAAGAUAAUUACGGUAUCUAACGAAUAAGCACCGUCUAACUCCGUUCCAGCAGCCGCGGUAAUACGGAGGGUGCAAGCGUUAUUCGGAAUCACUGGGCGUAAAGAGCGCGUAGGCGGGAUAGCAAGUCAGAUGUGAAAUCCUAUGGCUUAACCAUAGAACUGCAUUUGAAACUGUUAGUCUAGAGUAUGGGAGAGGUAGGUGGAAUUCUUGGUGUAGGGGUGAAAUCCGUAGAGAUCAAGAGGAAUACUGAUUGCGAAGGCGACCUGCUAGAACAUAACUGACGCUGAUGCGCGAAAGCGUGGGGAGCAAACAGGAUUAGAUACCCCUGUAGUC
RNAcentral lists this ribosomal RNA (440 nucleotides) under uncultured bacterium. RNAcentral describes it as "partial 16S ribosomal RNA". It matches the Rfam family "Bacterial small subunit ribosomal RNA", at positions 338 to 795 of the family's 1533-position model. The record is from RNAcentral.